Molecule: long non-coding RNA, 2502 nt
Filed under: Equus caballus (horse)
Lineage: Eukaryota; Metazoa; Chordata; Mammalia; Perissodactyla; Equidae
Description: lncRNA (ENSECAG00000044656.1)
Source: RNAcentral
CAACAAUGAAGGAGAGUUCCUGUUUCUCCACAUCCUUGUCGGCAUUUCGUGCUGUACGUGUUCUGGAUUUGGGCCAUUCUAAUAGGUGUGUACUGGUAUCCCAUUAAUGUCUUAAUUUGCGUUUCCCUAAGGAUAUAUGAUGUGGGGCAUCUUUUCAUAUGCUUAUUUGCCAUUGGUAUAUCCUCUUUGGUGAGGCGUCUGUUCAAGUCUUUUAACCAUCAGAUUGUUUAAUUUUUUAUCGUUGAGUUUUAAGUGUUCUUUGUAUAUUUUGGAUAACAGUCCUCUUUCAGAUAUGUCUUUUGCAAAUAUUUUCUCCCAGUCUGUGGCUUGUCUUCUCAUUCUCUUGCGAGGGUCAGUCGGGGCUCUAAGACAGACGUGGCACUAAGGGCUCGCGAAAGCCUGUCUUAACGUGUGGACUUGGAACACAGUCUUCUGGCCCAGCCACGUCUGGGCCUUGCUGCUGCUGAAGAAAAGCCACUGGCUUUUCUGGAUUCCUGAACUCACAGAUCCUGAUUGCCUGGACUGACUCUAAGCCCAAACCUGAUCCUGUCCGCCCCAGGCUGAUUCACUCUCAGCGUGCACUGUGCUCAGUGGAAAGCAGGCAUAUGCUCAGUGAACAGGACUUUGGCUCUGGGAUGUCGGCAGAUUGAGGACACCCUCUGUGGGACCAUAAACUGUGAAAACAUCAUGGAUGCUGGCGCGACCAUCUGGGUCACAUAAAAACGCCCACAGGAAGAGGCUUCUUUGAUGGAACUCUCUGAAAUCAAGCUACUGUUCAGCUCUAUGUUUCUGAGGCAGAUGCUAAUUUCUGACGUUUUCUAACUCAUGAUUCCUGCCGAAAGCUGCAAGUUAGGGGAGGGCGCAUCACAGACGGUGACCCCUCUGGUCACUCCUAAUAGACGGACUCUUGACCCCCUUGGGCAGCUGUCCUCAGAAAUGUACUGAUCUGCUCCAGGCUGCUCAUUGGAUAAAUGAUCAGGACAAAAGGAAGGGGUCGGGGGUUGUAAAAAUUAUUCUAAAAGUUCAAGAUUUCAUCCUGACCAGUUCCUGGAUAUGAUGUGUCUUUCAGGAAAGGCCAGAUUUCUUUGCAAGAGAUCCGAGAUUCAUACACUGCUUUUCAGAUUGUCUUCUCAUAAGCCAGCAGCCCUCUGGCAACCCACAGACUCCCGGUCCCCCAGGUGGCCAGCUUGACAAAAGCCACCGGCUCCCUUUCUUCCUAAGUCCGGGUCUUCAAAGGACAUCCAGGUUGCAGCCUCGAGAUCCGGCACAAACUGCCUCAGAGAAAACCAUGCCCAGCGCUCGCCUGGAGGUAUUAUCUGUGUGGGCGUGACCAUGGUUUGCAGAGUCCCCGCAGUGUGCUGGCACCGAGAGGACCCCGCGGUCCUCAGUUCUCUGAUUCAGCCGGGCCGCUCCUGCGGAGGCGGGCCAGCAUCACAAAAUGAUGGCAGGAGGAGUUCGUGAAGGGGCCAACACCUCACUGAGUGGAUUUGUAAGAUCCAACAUACACAAAGACUCAGGAAUCCUCCCCAGGAAAGGGGGCAUCCGAGGGGAACUGGGAUUCUUGCACUCCUAAGGGGGUCAGCCCAGGAUGGUGGCCACGGGCUCCCGGCCCGAUCCGGCUCCUCCCUCUCCUGUGUUGUCUUCGCCUGUAUCUUUGGGAUGGUGAUGGGAGCUUGCAGGGAGCUUCGAUGAGACAGCGGGCCUGGAUCCCUAAGCCCAGCACCGGGCACAUAAGAUUUGAGAGCUAAUAAUGAUGGAACAUUACUGUGUGACAACUAUUAGGAUCAUGACUACUCGUAUUAUAAAAGAUCUAUGGUUUGUGAUAGGCUGAAUAAUGGCCCCCAAAAUUAUCUAGGUCCUAAUGCCUGGAACUUGGGGAUGUUACCUUAUACGGCAAAAGGGCCUUCACAGGGUCUUGAGAUGGGGACACCAGCCCGGAUUAUCCAGGUGGCCCUACAUGUAAUCACGAGUCCUUACAAGGGACGCAGAGGGAGCCUCAGCUGCAGAACAGGAGCGGGCAAUACGACGAGGGCGGCAGAGACUGGAGCGAUGCAGCCACAAGCCAAGGAGAGCCGGCCGCCCCAGAGGCCGGAGCGGAUUCUCCCUGGAGCCUCAGAAGGAAGGCGGCCCUGCCGACGCCCUGCCUCCUCGCCCGGUGAAGCUGAAUUUGGACUUCUGACCUCCAGAACCGCAUAGAAGAAACAUGUGUUGUUUUAAAGCAUCGAGUUUGUGGCAGUUUGUCCUGGCAGCCAUGGAGGAUCCGGGGAGAGGACGUUGGGACAUUUACACGGGGCUGAGGGAGGGAGAGAGUGGGCACACGAUACUUGGUCCCAAUCGCCAACUCCAGCGCCAACUAACCACAGCACCGAUGUUAGUGCGCACGGUGCCCCCGGCAGAGCGGAGAACCCAGCCCGGGCCUGCAGGCAGGGCUCUCUCCGGGCGGGGCGUGCGCUGAGAAUAUUUUCUCGAUGCUUCCUCUGCGUGUGUACCUACAGAUCCGAG